GGUGCUGGACGUUGGUGUGCUGCGUAAGGGGGUUAAAAGGAAGGGGGUUGCGAUUUGUGGUCGCGUAUCUGCUGUUCUUGCUAGCUGUGCGAGAGGAGUUGGGGGAAAAAAGAAGCCGUGGUGGUUAUUUGGAAGUGCAGCUCUGCCUUGAGCAUGGAUAGUGAGGAAAGCCCCCGGCUGGGUCUGUGCUGAGGACUGUAGCUUCUCUGGGACAAGGCCUUCUGUGUGCCGAAUGCAAAUCGUAGAAUCCUCACCAAGAAUCGUUAACUAUGCCACAUGUGGAGGAGAAAAGCCAGUCUGAGCCAUAGCCUGCCUGGGCUGAUGGUGAAGAGAGCUGUGCAGGUAGUGGGGGCAACACAGAAAGCCUAGGGCUGAUACCAAGCUUGGAGAAGACCCAGGAAGUGCAAUCUUCUGCCCUAGACCUGGGCAGGAGGGAUGUAUCCAAGCCAAAUCAGUUGUGCCAGGAUGUUAAGCAUAAGUCAGUGUAUUCACCGUGGGAGAAAACCUUGUUGCUGCAGCUCCACAAAAAGCUUCCUCCAGCACAAAGGCAGUCAAUGGAAUCUGUAUGCUAGACCCUGUUCUGAUCAUAAACUACCUGUGGGUGUUCAAGCUUUUGACUUGCCUGGGCCACGCCGAGUGAAGAGGAAUUGUCUUGGUCCACGUAUAGAAUAUAUAAUAUAGUUAAUG
Centrocercus urophasianus (Greater sage-grouse) is the source of this 687-nucleotide long non-coding RNA. RefSeq lists it as uncharacterized. NCBI's taxonomy places the organism in Eukaryota, Metazoa, Chordata, Aves, Galliformes, Phasianidae. The record is from RefSeq and is a predicted model, not a curated record. The transcript has 3 exons.